UUUAUGCUUAUGGGGAUGCUUCACUUUCCCACUGCAGGCUGCUGUGGCUUUCUGCCCUUGGAGGAAGCCUCGAUGUAUUGCCCUUUGCAUCCGGAAUGAAAAGUUUGCUCAUGAAGCUGGAGGAAAACCUUAUGCUUUCAGAAGGUGACACCUGAGCCUGCUUGAAUCAGCCUGUCCCCCUGUUUCUUCCAAAGGAAACACGUUCAAGCCUCCAGCCGCCACCACACACCUCGAAGCCAAACGGACAUUCACCAGCCAGGGGACUGGGCACUUAGAGCAACGUCCUUCGGUGGGUCCGUGUUACUCCACGAAUAAGCCUGAGGCCACGGAGGCCACUUGGGCCAAGCAGCCCUGGGUCCUGUGGCCGCAGAGUGGCCCUGAACCUGGCCAGCCGAUGCCUGCCACCAGAAGAGAGAUCAGAAAUGGGCGACAGGAGUGCCGAGGCAGAAAGAGCCACUCCAAACUGUAAAACUGGGAUGGAUUCAUAACUCAUCAUGCUAACAGCUCCCAGUGAGCGUGCAUGCAGGCACACGCACCAAGCGCUGGGCUCGGUGUCUCAGACGCCCCGGCUUGAUUCCUUCAAACAGCUCCAUGGGGCAAAUUCUGUUUCUAUCCCCAGGGUCCAGCUGAGGAAACAAAAAUCAAGUAUCCUGUGAAGAUGACAAAGCUAGUCUGUGGGAGAGCCAGGGGUUGAAUGCGGCUCUCUCCGCCCCUGGAGCCCUGGCUGAUGUCCUCCGGGAGGGACCAAGGGAAAACCCUCCGACCGAGGAAAAGGAAAAGCCAGCCAUGCACUGGAGCAAUGGUUCCCAACCUUGCCUGCACACCGACUCACCGGGAGGCGGUAAAGAUUGCGGACACCAGGCUCUUGCCUCGCGAGACACUGACAUAAUGGAUCUUGGAAGCAGCCUGGGCACAGGGAUUAGUUUUUUAAAGACCGAGAACCCCUGCCUUAGAGAAACAGUGACAGGAAUUCAAUAAUUAAAAUUACAUGUCAACACUGACUGGAGGGUGUCAAAGGCAGGAAUUUCCCUCGCGGCAAAGUGCUUAGCUGAUGGAAUAAGAAGUGUCCUGUGAGAAAGAGCAAGAAACACAGCCAAAGCCUGCCUCUGGCUCUGCCGCCCGGUGGAGAGA
Myotis daubentonii (Daubenton's bat) is the source of this 1131-nucleotide long non-coding RNA. RefSeq lists it as uncharacterized. NCBI's taxonomy places the organism in Eukaryota, Metazoa, Chordata, Mammalia, Chiroptera, Vespertilionidae. The record is from RefSeq and is a predicted model, not a curated record.